AGAGUUUGAUCAUGGCUCAGAUUGAACGCUGGCGGCAGGCCUAACACAUGCAAGUCGAACGGUAACAGGAAGCAGCUUGCUGUUUCGCUGACGAGUGGCGGACGGGUGAGUAAUGUCUGGGAAACUGCCUGAUGGAGGGGGAUAACUACUGGAAACGGUAGCUAAUACCGCAUAACGUCGCAAGACCAAAGAGGGGGACCUUCGGGCCUCUUGCCAUCGGAUGUGCCCAGAUGGGAUUAGCUUGUUGGUGGGGUAACGGCUCACCAAGGCGACGAUCCCUAGCUGGUCUGAGAGGAUGACCAGCCACACUGGAACUGAGACACGGUCCAGACUCCUACGGGAGGCAGCAGUGGGGAAUAUUGCACAAUGGGCGCAAGCCUGAUGCAGCCAUGCCGCGUGUAUGAAGAAGGCCUUCGGGUUGUAAAGUACUUUCAGCGGGGAGGAAGGGAGUAAAGUUAAUACCUUUACUCAUUGACGUUACCCGCAGAAGAAGCACCGGCUAACUCCGUGCCAGCAGCCGCGGUAAUACGGAGGGUGCAAGCGUUAAUCGGAAUUACUGGGCGUAAAGCGCACGCAGGCGGUUUGUUAAGUCAGAUGUGAAAUCCCCGGGCUCAACCUGGGAACUGCAUCUGAUACUGGCAAGCUUGAGUCUCGUAGAGGGGGGUAGAAUUCCAGGUGUAGCGGUGAAAUGCGUAGAGAUCUGGAGGAAUACCGGUGGCGAAGGCGGCCCCCUGGACGAAGACUGACGCUCAGGUGCGAAAGCGUGGGGAGCAAACAGGAUUAGAUACCCUGGUAGUCCACGCCGUAAACGAUGUCGACUUGGAGGUUGUGCCCUUGAGGCGUGGCUUCCGGAGCUAACGCGUUAAGUCGACCGCCUGGGGAGUACGGCCGCAAGGUUAAAACUCAAAUGAAUUGACGGGGGCCCGCACAAGCGGUGGAGCAUGUGGUUUAAUUCGAUGCAACGCGAAGAACCUUACCUGGUCUUGACAUCCACGGAAGUUUUCAGAGAUGAGAAUGUGCCUUCGGGAACCGUGAGACAGGUGCUGCAUGGCUGUCGUCAGCUCGUGUUGUGAAAUGUUGGGUUAAGUCCCGCAACGAGCGCAACCCUUAUCCUUUGUUGCCAGCGGUCCGGCCGGGAACUCAAAGGAGACUGCCAGUGAUAAACUGGAGGAAGGUGGGGAUGACGUCAAGUCAUCAUGGCCCUUACGACCAGGGCUACACACGUGCUACAAUGGCGCAUACAAAGAGAAGCGACCUCGCGAGAGCAAGCGGACCUCAUAAAGUGCGUCGUAGUCCGGAUUGGAGUCUGCAACUCGACUCCAUGAAGUCGGAAUCGCUAGUAAUCGUGGAUCAGAAUGCCACGGUGAAUACGUUCCCGGGCCUUGUACACACCGCCCGUCACACCAUGGGAGUGGGUUGCAAAAGAAGUAGGUAGCUUAACCUUCGGGAGGGCGCUUACCACUUUGUGAUUCAUGACUGGGGUGAAGUCGUAACAAGGUAACCGUAGGGGAACCUGCGGUUGGAUCACCU
This 1530-nucleotide ribosomal RNA is filed under the name Escherichia coli O104:H4 str. 11-4632 C5. RNAcentral describes it as "bacterial SSU rRNA". It matches the Rfam family "Bacterial small subunit ribosomal RNA". The record is from RNAcentral. Lineage: Bacteria; Pseudomonadati; Pseudomonadota; Gammaproteobacteria; Enterobacterales; Enterobacteriaceae.